CUGGCGGCGUGCCUAACACAUGCAAGUCGAGCGGGGUCCAUCCGGUAGCAAUACCGGGGAAGACCUAGCGGCGAACGGGUGAGUAACACGUGAGAAACCUGCCCCGAAGUCUGGGAUAACCCGAGGAAACUCGAGCUAAUACCGGAUGUCUUCUUCUGAUCGCAUGGUCGGAUGAAGAAAGAUUUAUCGCUUCGGGAGGGUCUCGCGGCCUAUCAGCUAGUUGGCGGGGUAACGGCCCACCAAGGCGUCGACGGGUAGCUGGUCUGAGAGGACGAUCAGCCACACUGGGACUGAGACACGGCCCAGACUCCUACGGGAGGCAGCAGUGGGGAAUAUUGCGCAAUGGGCGAAAGCCUGACGCAGCAACGCCGCGUGCGGGAUGAAGGCCUUCGGGUUGUAAACCGCUUUCAGUGGGGACGAAUUCAGACGGUACCCACAGAAGAAGCCCCGGCCAACUACGUG
Molecule: ribosomal RNA, 462 nt
Filed under: uncultured bacterium
Lineage: Bacteria
Description: bacterial SSU rRNA
Rfam family: Bacterial small subunit ribosomal RNA
Source: RNAcentral